This 101-nucleotide ribosomal RNA is filed under the name Escherichia coli 1-250-04_S4_C1. Lineage: Bacteria; Pseudomonadati; Pseudomonadota; Gammaproteobacteria; Enterobacterales; Enterobacteriaceae. The record is from RNAcentral.
GGCGGCAGUAGCGCGGUGGUCCCACCUGACCCCAUGCCGAACUCAGAAGUGAAACGCCGAAGCGCCGACGCAGUAUCACCACAAAAGACACAGGACAGAGC